GACGAACGCUGGCGGCGUGCUUAACACAUGCAAGUCGAACGGAAAGGCCCUGCUUUUGUGGGGUGCUCGAGUGGCGAACGGGUGAGUAACACGUGAGUAACCUGCCCUUGACUUUGGGAUAACUUCAGGAAGCUGGGGCUAAUACCGGAUAGGAGCUCCUGCUGCAUGGUGGGGGUUGGAAAGUUUCGGCGGUUGGGGAUGGACUCGCGGCUUAUCAGCUUGUUGGUGGGGUAGUGGCUUACCAAGGCUUUGACGGGUAGCCGGCCUGAGAGGGUGACCGGCCACAUUGGGACUGAGAUACGGCCCAGACUCCUACGGGAGGCAGCAGUGGGGAAUAUUGCACAAUGGGCGGAAGCCUGAUGCAGCAACGCCGCGUGCGGGAUGACGGCCUUCGGGUUGUAAACCGCUUUCGCCUGUGACGAAGCGUGAGUGACGGUAAUGGGUAAAGAAGCACCGGCUGACUACGUG
Molecule: ribosomal RNA, 468 nt
Filed under: uncultured bacterium
Lineage: Bacteria
Description: partial 16S ribosomal RNA
Rfam family: Bacterial small subunit ribosomal RNA
Source: RNAcentral